RNAcentral lists this long non-coding RNA (857 nucleotides) under Marmota monax (woodchuck). The record is from RNAcentral. Lineage: Eukaryota; Metazoa; Chordata; Mammalia; Rodentia; Sciuridae.
CAAAACUGUGAUCUGGAAAUAGAACCUUGAAAAGUUUAGCAUGAGAGUGUGAAAUUUUAAUUCUCAUCAUUGCUUAGAAACCAUAGUCACUCCCAGGGCAACCAAAAGAGCUUGCCUACAUUUAGGCAAGUAAGCAAACAAGAGCUAAGCAUGAUAUCUCUGAAGAGCCUUUUGACCUUCUCAUGGACAGCUUUAGUUUGUGUAGCCAUUGGAGUUUUGGGUCAUCUCUGGAUAAUCAAAUCAUUAGUAAACAAUUAACCAUAUUUCUGACUCUCACUUUCUGGUCCUAGUAGUCAUUUAUGUCAUUUUCAACUUUUAUACUAAAGGAAAUGACUGGAUAACUGACUUCCUGCCUUAGAUAUAGGGAAGCUAGACUUUCCCCCAAAGUCCUAGAGUUUGGAUGCAUCAUUUCCACUCCAUAUUCUAGUAUAUGUCAUCUUCCCAGGCAAUGGGCAUAGCUGAAUAUUAAUAGAACCUGGACCAGAAAACUCAACUCAAUACAGGGAAGAUAUUCUGGAUAUUUGGGUCAGAGGAGAAAGAGGUUGAGAAUGACAAAAAACUAUUAGUUGAGAGGGCUGGGGGUUGUGGCUCAGUGGUACAGUGCUUGCCUAGCAUGUGUGAGGCACUGGGUUUGAUUCUCAGCACCACAUAUAAAUAAACAAAACAAAAAAAGUCCAUUGACAACUAAAAACCAAAGAACUAGAAGACAGGAGCUCAAAGCUUCCCAACACAAAGACAUGAUUAAUGUUUAAGGAGAUAGAAAUGCUAAUUGCCCUGAUUUGAUCUUUACACAUGUAUCUAAUUAUCACCCUGCAACCCAUACAUAUGUACAAUUAUCAUGUGUCAAUGAAAACUAG